This 873-nucleotide long non-coding RNA is filed under the name Homo sapiens (human). RNAcentral describes it as "long non-coding RNA NONHSAT190850.1". Lineage: Eukaryota; Metazoa; Chordata; Mammalia; Primates; Hominidae. The record is from RNAcentral.
AGCGUCUGGGGUUUCCGUUGCAGUCCUCGGAACCAGGACCUCGGCGUGGCCUAGCGAGUUAUGGCGACGAAGGCCGUGUGCGUGCUGAAGGGCGACGGCCCAGUGCAGGGCAUCAUCAAUUUCGAGCAGAAGGAAAGUAAUGGACCAGUGAAGGUGUGGGGAAGCAUUAAAGGACUGACUGAAGGCCUGCAUGGAUUCCAUGUUCAUGAGUUUGGAGAUAAUACAGCAGGUGGGUGUUGUGCUGUCCUCACUUUAAUCCUCUAUCCAGAAAACACGGUGGGCCAAAGGAUGAAGAGAGGCAUGUUGGAGACUUGGGCAAUGUGACUGCUGACAAAGAUGGUGUGGCCGAUGUGUCUAUUGAAGAUUCUGUGAUCUCACUCUCAGGAGACCAUUGCAUCAUUGGCCGCACACUGGUGGUCCAUGAAAAAGCAGAUGACUUGGGCAAAGGUGGAAAUGAAGAAAGUACAAAGACAGGAAACGCUGGAAGUCGUUUGGCUUGUGGUGUAAUUGGGAUCGCCCAAUAAACAUUCCCUUGGAUGUAGUCUGAGGCCCCUUAACUCAUCUGUUAUCCUGCUAGCUGUAGAAAUGUAUCCUGAUAAACAUUAAACACUGUAAUCUUAAAAGUGUAAUUGUGUGACUUUUUCAGAGUUGCUUUAAAGUACCUGUAGUGAGAAACUGAUUUAUGAUCACUUGGAAGAUUUGUAUAGUUUUAUAAAACUCAGUUAAAAUGUCUGUUUCAAUGACCUGUAUUUUGCCAGACUUAAAUCACAGAUGGGUAUUAAACUUGUCAGAAUUUCUUUGUCAUUCAAGCCUGUGAAUAAAAACCCUGUAUGGCACUUAUUAUGAGGCUAUUAAAAGAAUCCAAAUUCAAAC